This 438-nucleotide ribosomal RNA is filed under the name Triticum aestivum (bread wheat). RNAcentral describes it as "partial small subunit ribosomal RNA". Lineage: Eukaryota; Viridiplantae; Streptophyta; Magnoliopsida; Poales; Poaceae. The record is from RNAcentral.
AUGACGGUGCUUUGGAGAUGGAGAUCAAAGGCACAAGAUAAUGAUGGCCAUCUCAUAUCACUUAUAUUGAUUGCAUGUGGCGUCAUCGAUUACUACAUAUUGGUGACGAUAAACGUCACUGGAAUGUCUCAGCCUGAUCACCAGGAUACAACGAAGGGAUUUGCGGGAGAAAAGCACCGAGGCGAGGUUGACGAAAGAGAGAAGGGUAUGAAGCUGACAAGCAUUUUCGUACGCCCAGAACUUGAUAAAAGCAGAUACAUGUUCACUCACUAUUCAUCUUUAACAGCUUCAGUUGCUAAAAUAAUGCCAACACUUCCGGAGAGUGAGAGGGAAACAAGGGCAUAUCUUACGGAAAGGAAAAGCAAGAGUGAGGCAUAUUUGAAGGUAAGGGAUGCAAGGAUGCGGAGCAGCAACCUCUUAGAGACAUACAAAGCAUAG